CCGCUCUCAAAGUGGUUGUGAAAUGCGUCCUUUGUGGGGUAUCCAAUUCGCAUAUCACAGCCAGCUUUGAAGAGCGCCA
Molecule: microRNA precursor, 79 nt
Filed under: Anopheles funestus (African malaria mosquito)
Lineage: Eukaryota; Metazoa; Arthropoda; Insecta; Diptera; Culicidae
Description: mir-2 microRNA precursor
Rfam family: mir-2 microRNA precursor family
About the family: The miRNAs are transcribed as ~70nt precursors (modelled here) and subsequently processed by the Dicer enzyme to give a ~22nt product. In this case the mature sequence comes from the 3' arm of the precursor.
Source: RNAcentral